This 201-nucleotide ribosomal RNA is filed under the name uncultured bacterium. RNAcentral describes it as "partial 16S ribosomal RNA". It matches the Rfam family "Bacterial small subunit ribosomal RNA", at positions 524 to 725 of the family's 1533-position model. The record is from RNAcentral.
UACGUAGGGGCAAGCGUUAUCCGGAAUUACUGGGCGUAAAGCGCACGCAGGCGGUUUGCCAAGUUUGGAGUGACAGUUGUUGGCUCAACCGACAAAGGACUUCAAAAACUGGUGAACUUGAGGACGAGAGAGGAACAUGGAACUCCAGGUGGAGUAGUGAAAUGCGUAGAUAUCUGGAAGAACACCAAUGGCGAAGGCAAU